This is a long non-coding RNA of Homo sapiens (human), 510 nucleotides long. NCBI's taxonomy places the organism in Eukaryota, Metazoa, Chordata, Mammalia, Primates, Hominidae. The record is from Ensembl.
GAACGUGGAAAGUCUAGACUGACUAAGCCUGGCCUCCAUCUGUCUCUGGUGCUGGAUGUUUCCUUCCCUCGAACAUCAGACUCCAAGUUCUUCAGCUUUUGGACUCGGGCUUAACACCAGUGAUUUGCCACUGAAGGCUGCACUAUCAGCUUGUCUACUUUUGAGGUUUUGGGACUCAGGUUGGCUCCCUGGCUCCUCAGCUUGCAGAUGGGCUAUUGUGGGACUUUACCUUGUGAUCAUGUGAUGGUAUAGAUGGCCUUCGGGAGGUGAUAGAUCAUGACAUGGAGCCCUCAUGAAUGGGAUUCAUGCUCUUUCGAAAGAGGUCCCACGACUGCCUUACCCCUUCCACCAUUUGAGGACACAGCUAGGAGAUACCGUCUAUAUACCAGAAAUACACAAGAGAAGAGACCUCAUUGAAACCUCAACAGACACCAAAUCUGCUGUCACCUUGAUCUUGGACUCCCCAGCGUCCACAACUGCAAGAAAUAAACUUCUGUUGUUUAUAAAUUA